RNAcentral lists this long non-coding RNA (814 nucleotides) under Setaria viridis. RNAcentral describes it as "long non-coding RNA (SVIR_LNC004288)". The record is from RNAcentral. Lineage: Eukaryota; Viridiplantae; Streptophyta; Magnoliopsida; Poales; Poaceae.
UAACGGCGAAGUCGCCUGCUCGAAAGUAAGUACGGAGAAGAAAGUAACUUGUUGUAUUGAUUGAUUGUUGUAUUCACAGAUUUACAAAGGUAGCUAUUUAUAGCCCCGUACAAAUAACUUCUUAACCGACUAGAACUCUAUCUCUAAUUCAAACAGAAAACAAAUAUCUACAAGCACAAUCCGUGCUAAGUUAGUUACCCCACGCUUCGUGGGCUGACCUCCACCUUAUCCUUCCAUCCCUUUCCAGGCCCAUACAGGCCCAAUUAGUCCAUCUUCCUGAUCGGCCGAUUUCUCAUCGGCAAAGGAUUACCGAUUGGGAUUCUGGUGCAUUCACCCUGAAGCGAGGCAAAAGUUGCCAGCCGAUUCCGCAUUAUAGCACCAUUUGACCGAUUCCCAACUGUACUUCUCCGACUUCUUUUCUUCUUGGCGCCGAUUCUACUGGUGACGAAAUCCGGCGUCAACACAUGCCCCCCAGUUUUGGAGUAAAACACAGUCUUUUACUUCGAAAUUCUUUAUAACCUCCCCUCCGAAACGGCCGCAGUGAAAAUAUCCUUCCGUUUCGCGGUCUCCCGGCUGAUCAUUGCGAUUUUUUUUGAAACGGGCGCCCACGACAGCCACUACCCCGAAAAACUCGAAGCGCCAGUGCGGUGAAAAUUCCAUCUUUACCCCCUCUUCAGGCACCCUAUAAAUAGCGUUUCACCGCAGCUCAUCUUCAAGCUCACGUCUCUUUUCCCAACGCGCACGCAUCCUUCUUCUUUCAACUCUCCCUUGCCAUCGAAGUCUUCUAGUUCCAGUUCCUGUUACUUCUUCCCCC